RNAcentral lists this ribosomal RNA (257 nucleotides) under uncultured prokaryote. RNAcentral describes it as "partial 16S ribosomal RNA". It matches the Rfam family "Bacterial small subunit ribosomal RNA", at positions 524 to 780 of the family's 1533-position model. The record is from RNAcentral.
UACGGAGGAUCCGAGCGUUAUCCGGAUUUAUUGGGUUUAAAGGGUGCGCAGGUUGUUUGAUAAGUCAGUGGUGAAAGUCUGUCGCUUAACGGUAGGAUUGCCAUUGAUACUGUUGGACUUGAAUAUGGAUGAGGUAGGCGGAAUGUGUAGUGUAGCGGUGAAAUGCAUAGAUAUUACACAGAACACCGAUUGCGAAGGCAGCUUACUAAUCCAUCAUUGACGCUGAGGCACGAAAGCGUGGGGAUCAAACAGGAUUA